This is a long non-coding RNA of Cyprinus carpio carpio, 1197 nucleotides long. NCBI's taxonomy places the organism in Eukaryota, Metazoa, Chordata, Actinopteri, Cypriniformes, Cyprinidae. The record is from Ensembl.
GUUACUAAUGCAUAUUUACAAGACAGGUGCUUGUGAGAUUGCUUGUGUUUGUCUUUGUUUUGAUUUUUUUUGUUUUUUUGUUUUGUUGUAAUAUUGUGGUACACAAUGAUCUCUUAAACACGCUAUUGUUGAAAUCAAGGUUCUGUACUGAUUUCAACUUGAAAGACAAGACAGGUGGUGUCUGCUGACAGCUGUCAGUCCUUAGCCGGACAGAGACAUUUGUGUGUUUUAUAAUAUUUGAUAUAGUGAAAUAAGAGCUCUCCUACUACUGUCAAUGUCAUUUCAGCUUUAUAGAUUAACACGCAGUAUUUAUUAACACAGCCUAUUACAACCUUAUAUGAUAAACAUCCAAUUAGUUCUAAAUAAUGUUUUCCAUGUGUUCAAUAAUAAUGGAUUUUGAGUUUGAAGGUUUACAUUAUUUAUCCUUAUAAAAUGAAAUUAAUAUGGCACAUAUAACUUUCUCCUGAAAAGACAUUUCAAGUAUUGUGACCAAAGAACUGUCAUCUCUCUCUCUCUCUCUCUCUCUCUCUCACACACACACACACACACACACACACACACAAUUGUAAAACCAAUCCAAGUUUCCUUAAUACUGUACAACCAGUUGAAAUGGACUAUGGUAGAUAUUUUUGUCUUCUGUUCGAUUAUUUCAGCAAACCUAUGCAUCGGGGCAGUUCCUGAGAGUUUCUUUUAUUUCUUUCUUUUUUUUUUAAUGUCAGGUGUUUAAGCAUGCAUGCAAGGGAGAUACAUUUGUCUCCAAGUGUAUCCUCAUAAAAGGGUGUCUCACCAAAAAUCAAGGUCUAAAUUCUAUUUUUAUUAACUUUCACUGAGAGACCUGAUUAUUUUCAGCAGAUGUAACCUGAAUUUGUAUGUAUGUGUGUGACACUGAAUCUAUCUGAAUGUGUAUGAGUGCACACUAAUGUAAGGUCGAAGAGGAUGUUUAUUUUGUGAAAAAAAUCUCAAACAGUGUUUGUUGAAUGAGAUUAGUUUUCUGUUCAGCAGUGAUGCCUGGUCUCAAAAUUCGGGGAAACAAACAUAUCAGUAACCUGAAUUUUUGAUAAUCAUAAUCUUCAUGUUGUGCCACGCAUUGAGAGACAGUGAAAUACACAAUGCUGUAAUCUGUGUACUCUUGUGUUACUACUGUCAAUUUGAUUACAUUAUACAAUUUGAUUAAAUAAUAAAGUUGUUUAAACAGUU